GCUCGUAUAGCUCAGUUGGUUAGAGCGCCGUACUUAUAAUGCGGAGGCCGUGGGUUCGAACCCCACUAUGAGCA
RNAcentral lists this transfer RNA (74 nucleotides) under Megaviridae environmental sample. RNAcentral's name for it is "tRNA-Ile". It matches the Rfam family "tRNA". From Rfam's summary of the family: Transfer RNA (tRNA) molecules are approximately 80 nucleotides in length. Their secondary structure includes four short double-helical elements and three loops (D, anti-codon, and T loops). Further hydrogen bonds mediate the characteristic L-shaped molecular structure. tRNAs have two regions of fundamental functional importance: the anti-codon, which is responsible for specific mRNA codon recognition, and the 3' end, to which the tRNAs corresponding amino acid is attached (by aminoacyl-tRNA synthetases). tRNAs cope with the degeneracy of the genetic code in two manners: having more than one tRNA (with a specific anti-codon) for a particular amino acid; and 'wobble' base-pairing, i.e. permitting non-standard base-pairing at the 3rd anti-codon position. Lineage: Varidnaviria; Bamfordvirae; Nucleocytoviricota; Megaviricetes; Imitervirales; Mimiviridae. The record is from RNAcentral.